RNAcentral lists this ribosomal RNA (253 nucleotides) under uncultured bacterium. Its description in RNAcentral is "partial 16S ribosomal RNA". It matches the Rfam family "Bacterial small subunit ribosomal RNA", at positions 524 to 776 of the family's 1533-position model. The record is from RNAcentral.
UACGGAGGAUCCGAGCGUUAUCCGGAUUUAUUGGGUUUAAAGGGUGCGUAGGCGGCCUAUUAAGUCAGGGGUGAAAGACGGUAGCUUAACUAUCGCAGUGCCUUUGAUACUGAUGGGCUUGAAUAUACUUGAGGUAGGCGGAAUGUGACAAGUAGCGGUGAAAUGCAUAGAUAUGUCACAGAACAUCAAUUGCGAAGGCAGCUUACUAAGGUAUGAUUGACGCUGAGGCACGAAAGCGUGGGGAUCAAACAGG